Non-coding RNA from Acanthosepion pharaonis, 89 nucleotides. The record is from the annotation of a GenBank genome assembly. Lineage: Eukaryota; Metazoa; Mollusca; Cephalopoda; Sepiida; Sepiidae.
CGAUCCCCGUACGAUCACCGAAGUUAAGCAAAGUUGAGCCUGAUCAGUACCAAGAUGGGUGACUGCUUGAAAAUACCAGAUGCCGUAAG